This 257-nucleotide ribosomal RNA is filed under the name uncultured prokaryote. RNAcentral describes it as "partial 16S ribosomal RNA". It matches the Rfam family "Bacterial small subunit ribosomal RNA", at positions 524 to 780 of the family's 1533-position model. The record is from RNAcentral.
UACGGAGGAUGCAAGCGUUAUCCGGAUUUAUUGGGUUUAAAGGGUGCGCAGGUUGUUUGAUAAGUCAGUGGUGAAAGUCUGUCGCUUAACGGUAGGAUUGCCAUUGAUACUGUUGGACUUGAAUAUGGAUGAGGUAGGCGGAAUGUGUAGUGUAGCGGUGAAAUGCAUAGAUAUUACACAGAACACCGAUUGCGAAGGCAGCUUACUAAUCCAUCAUCGACGUUGAGGCACGAAAGCGUGGGGAUCAAACAGGAUUA